AGUGGGAUAGCUGGGUCAUAUGGUAGCUUCAUUCCUAAUUUGUUGAGGAAUCUCCACACUGCUUUCCAAAGUGGUUGCACCACUUUGCAGUCCCACCGAUAAU
This 103-nucleotide microRNA precursor is filed under the name Marmota monax (woodchuck). Lineage: Eukaryota; Metazoa; Chordata; Mammalia; Rodentia; Sciuridae. The record is from RNAcentral.